RNAcentral lists this long non-coding RNA (378 nucleotides) under Fragaria vesca (wild strawberry). RNAcentral's name for it is "long non-coding RNA (FVES_LNC003964)". The record is from RNAcentral. Lineage: Eukaryota; Viridiplantae; Streptophyta; Magnoliopsida; Rosales; Rosaceae.
AUGAGACCAGAUUUUUGAGUGAGGGCGGUGGAAGAUAUGAUGCCUUUCAGAUGAUGAAGAUGCUUUAGAUUUAUUGACCAUCUAUAUAAAAAAUUACUUGUGAAUAUAAAAGAACUUGUAAAAAUUACUUGAGCUCCUUUACUAGAUUAUACAUGAACCAUGAAAUCAUAUUUCACAAUAGCUAGGUUAUUUACAAACAUCACGUUUGUUCCCUUUCAAAAAAAAAAACAAACAAAUAAACAACACGUGUGUUCUUACUAGAGUACUAAAUUUGUUAGGGUUGUUUAGAAAAAGAAAAGAGUGGUUUAAAGUAAAAUUAGAAAAUAAUAUAAUUUAUUAUCAUAAAUAGAUGUUUUUUAAAUCCUAUUAAAACAAAAA